UGUUUUAUUCAGUGUUUAUCAAUCACAAAAUAAAUAUGACGUGAAACUCUUCUCAGGCCUGCAGGGUAUGGCGGUGGUUGACGAGUUUGGAGGGGUGGAAGAGAGCAGAGUUCAUCAUGCAGCAUCUCAGAGCAUCGUUCUGAGAGGAAAACACACUGAUGUGAUCUUCCGGAUGGACUGUGCUCCACCGAAGAAUUCUGUGGAGCUGUAUUGUAAUGGUGAAUGCAAAAAUAAUUCAGUGUAUGAAAGUCAAAUCGGUGCUGUUUCAUUUGAACAGAUUUCUGUAUUUAAAUACGUCAUUUCGGGGUUGAUCUCUGUCGAUCUUCUCAAGAACAGUCACAUAACGCUGCAAACAGGAGCACUUCUGAUGGCAUCUUCAUCUUCCUGCCCAUCAUCAUCAUCUUCAUUUUUGUCACCUAGAUUUAUUGGGUCGUUUCUGUAGGUUUUCUGGUGACUUUGGAUUCUGUGACGUGGAGACCAAACCCAGAGAUGAACCGCAAAAACACAGCAGAAAUCAUAACAUAUCAUACUAAAAAUAUCUGUCUAUCUA
This 550-nucleotide long non-coding RNA is filed under the name Sinocyclocheilus anshuiensis. RNAcentral describes it as "lncRNA (ENSSANG00000031253.1)". The record is from RNAcentral. Lineage: Eukaryota; Metazoa; Chordata; Actinopteri; Cypriniformes; Cyprinidae.